Molecule: ribosomal RNA, 977 nt
Filed under: Pediococcus pentosaceus
Lineage: Bacteria; Bacillati; Bacillota; Bacilli; Lactobacillales; Lactobacillaceae
Description: bacterial SSU rRNA
Rfam family: Bacterial small subunit ribosomal RNA
Source: RNAcentral
UUAUUGUGCCACGCCGCCGCGGUAAUACGUAGGUGGCAAGCGUUAUCCGGAUUUAUUGGGCGUAAAGCGAGCGCAGGCGGUCUUUUAAGUCUAAUGUGAAAGCCUUCGGCUCAACCGAAGAAGUGCAUUGGAAACUGGGAGACUUGAGUGCAGAAGAGGACAGUGGAACUCCAUGUGUAGCGGUGAAAUGCGUAGAUAUAUGGAAGAACACCAGUGGCGAAGGCGGCUGUCUGGUCUGCAACUGACGCUGAGGCUCGAAAGCAUGGGUAGCGAACAGGAUUAGAUACCCUGGUAGUCCAUGCCGUAAACGAUGAUUACUAAGUGUUGGAGGGUUUCCGCCCUUCAGUGCUGCAGCUAACGCAUUAAGUAAUCCGCCUGGGGAGUACGACCGCAAGGUUGAAACUCAAAAGAAUUGACGGGGGCCCGCACAAGCGGUGGAGCAUGUGGUUUAAUUCGAAGCUACGCGAAGAACCUUACCAGGUCUUGACAUCUUCUGACAGUCUAAGAGAUUAGAGGUUCCCUUCGGGGACAGAAUGACAGGUGGUGCAUGGUUGUCGUCAGCUCGUGUCGUGAGAUGUUGGGUUAAGUCCCGCAACGAGCGCAACCCUUAUUACUAGUUGCCAGCAUUAAGUUGGGCACUCUAGUGAGACUGCCGGUGACAAACCGGAGGAAGGUGGGGACGACGUCAAAUCAUCAUGCCCCUUAUGACCUGGGCUACACACGUGCUACAAUGGAUGGUACAACGAGUCGCGAGACCGCGAGGUUAAGCUAAUCUCUUAAAACCAUUCUCAGUUCGGACUGUAGGCUGCAACUCGCCUACACGAAGUCGGAAUCGCUAGUAAUCGCGGAUCAGCAUGCCGCGGUGAAUACGUUCCCGGGCCUUGUACACACCGCCCGUCACACCAUGAGAGUUUGUAACACCCAAAGCCGGUGGGGUAACCUUUAGGAGCUAGCCGUCUAAAGUUAAACACAUAUUU